CCAAACCCCGGAGCUCGCGCAGCCUCAAUCGGGCAGGUGGCGCGCCUCGCUCUGGCCGCGACGGAGCGGGCGCGGGGACAGCUGGCCCCGAGGUGCGCGCAUGACGCUGUGUAGGCAGUCCAACGGUGGGCUGUGUGCCUCCUCGGCCCCCUUGCUUCUCUCUGAGCUGAGCUUCCUACUAUUCCUGAUAGUUCUUAACCUGAAGAUACGAUGUGACAACUGUAAAACUGUUCAAAGCCUGGCUUCUUGGAACUAGGAAUUACCUCUAGAGGAAGAAAAACUUAGUAGGAAAAAACCCAUUCUGAGAGGGGCAAUCCUAAUCUGAGAUGAGACUGCUGAAGGUCAUGGCCUGGCAUUAAACUCUCACAGCCAUCAUAUUGUGAGGACUCAGACCACAUGGAGAGGCCAUGUGUAAGUAUUCCAGUGACAGCUCUAGUGAUCGCAGCUGACAGCCACGGUCAACCACCAAACGUGUAAGUGAGCCUUCAGAUGAUCCUAGCCUACAUCAUUUGAGCUGCCCCAGCUGAUGCUGAAUGGAGCAGACCAGCUGUCUCAGCUGGAUCUGGCCCAAUUUGCAGAGUUGGAAGCAAAAUAAAGGUUUGAAGCCACUGAGUUUUGGGGUGGUUUAUUACACAGCAAUAACCCGAGCAGUGUUUUUAAUGUUAUCUAUAAUUCCCUCUAGAAGCCUGAGAAGUAGGUACUACUGCUAUCCUUUUCUGAAAGAUGAAGACACAUCCAGAGUUUCAGAGGGGUAAAAUGCCUGCCUUAGGUUUCACACUAAUUGGCAAAGCCAGGCUUUAAUAGCUUCAAAGAAUAAGUCUUCUCCACUACUCUAGAAAAGUCUCCAAGACAUUAAUGGGAAUUAGAUCUGCUUCUACGCACUUUAGGAAGAACUUGGAUUAUAAAAGCCUGAUUUUUAAAAUAAAAAUGACCAUUAAUCACCUGCAAUGUAUCUCUGCAUAGGCUUAAAAAAAAACAACUCAGCAGUUUUAUGGAGGUUACAAGGUUUUUACCCACCUUAUCUUGUUUAAUCCUGACAACUGCCCUAUGAGUGGGUUAUCUUCUCAAUUUUACAGAAGAGAAAACUGAGGCUCACUCCAAGGACAAAUUACCUAGUUCCACACCUUGUAGGAAGUGGCAGAGAUGGGAUGCAAACUCAAGCCCCACUUGCAAAUGUUUCCCUUUACCUCUUGCUGGCAAAAAAAGAUAGUUUGUAAGAAUCUUUAUUCAAUAAUACAGACGAAAAGAAAAACGUUAGCAUUGUUCUGUUGUCAAGACUCACAGAAGGGAGCAUAGUGGUCACUGCCCAACCUCCUAAUUACACAAGUUAAAAAAGUAAAGUCCAAAGAAACUAGGUCUCUUGAAUGAACUGUAGGCUUCGCUGCCCUUUGACGAGAAAAACUGCGUUCCCCUUCACACUCAUGUAUCAUUUCAUGUCAAUUCUGCGCAGUACCACAGGGCAGAAAACAGGGCUUUGACACCUCUGCAGACCAGGCUCACAAAUGACCUGUUUCCCAGCUUGGCACUUGCUGGCCCUGCUCACAUAUUUGCAUUUCUCUGCCCGCCCCCUGCCCCCCAGAGUCUCAGCUUUACGUUCUAGGCAUUUGACGUUUGCGAUGUCACAUUCUCCCAACCACACUCGCACUUCCCCUUCCCAUGCAGUUUAUGGGCGGGAAAAAACAUUAACUAAUUUCUCAGUUGCCUUUAUUGUCUAUCAAAGGCAACCGUGGCAAGCUGGCUUAUUAAUGCAGCAGCCAGUAAUUUCGUUUAACUCUCAUAAAUUUACAGAGACCAUCUUAGAGCGAAACUCAGAUAAGUCAGAGAAGGCUCGAAAAUGCGCAAGUUCUCCCAACCCAGAUUCCCACUGGCGCGAGCUGUACACAUGCAAUGGUGGUCGCGCCCAGCUUGCGACCCAGGACCACCUCGCCGCCGCCUUCCCAGAGCGGCGAGGCGCGGCUCCCGGGCCCCAAGCGCCGCCUGCUUCCCCUCCCAG
Long non-coding RNA from Microcebus murinus (gray mouse lemur), 1993 nucleotides. RefSeq lists it as uncharacterized. NCBI's taxonomy places the organism in Eukaryota, Metazoa, Chordata, Mammalia, Primates, Cheirogaleidae. The record is from RefSeq and is a predicted model, not a curated record.